UACGAAGGGUGCAAGCGUUAAUCGGAAUUACUGGGCGUAAAGCGCGCGUAGGUGGUUCAGUAAGUUGGAUGUGAAAUCCCCAGGCUCAACCUGGGAACUGCAUCCAAAACUGCUGAGCUAGAGUACGGUAGAGGGUGGUGGAAUUUCCUGUGUAGCGGUGAAAUGCGUAGAUAUAGGAAGGAACACCAGUGGCGAAGGCGACCACCUGGACUGAUACUGACACUGAGAUGCGAAAGCGUGGGGAGCAAACAGG
RNAcentral lists this ribosomal RNA (253 nucleotides) under uncultured bacterium. Its description in RNAcentral is "partial 16S ribosomal RNA". It matches the Rfam family "Bacterial small subunit ribosomal RNA", at positions 524 to 776 of the family's 1533-position model. The record is from RNAcentral.